Molecule: ribosomal RNA, 397 nt
Filed under: uncultured Sphingobacteriales bacterium
Lineage: Bacteria; Pseudomonadati; Bacteroidota; Sphingobacteriia; Sphingobacteriales
Description: bacterial SSU rRNA
Rfam family: Bacterial small subunit ribosomal RNA
Source: RNAcentral
UAAGAUGACUGUAGGUGAAAGCUUACAUCUCUUCGGAGCAUUUUACGAGGUGCUGCAUGGUUGUCGUCAGCUCGUGCCGUGAGGUGUCGGGUUAAGUCCCAUAACGAGCGCAACCCUUACCUUUAGUUGCCAUCAGGUAAUGCGUGGGGACUCUAAAGGAACUGCCUACGCAAGUAGUGAGGAAGGCGGGGAUGACGUCAAAUCAGCACCGGCCCUUACGUCCAGGGCUACACACGUGCUACAAUGGCCGAUACAGGAGGGCAGCUACCUGGUGACAGGAUGCAAAUCUCCAAAGUCGGUCUCAGUUCGGAUCGGAGUCUGCAACCCGACUCCGUGAAGUUGGAUUCGCUAGUAAUCGCGCAUCAGCCAUGGCGCGGUGAAUACGUUCCCGGGCCUU